RNAcentral lists this ribosomal RNA (1499 nucleotides) under uncultured organism. RNAcentral describes it as "partial 16S ribosomal RNA". It matches the Rfam family "Bacterial small subunit ribosomal RNA". The record is from RNAcentral.
AGAGUUUGAUCCUGGCUCAGAUCGAACGCUGGCGGCGUGGCUAAAGCAUGCAAGUCGUACGCGAAAGUUCCUUCGGGAACGAGUAGAGUGGCGAAAGGGCGAGGAAUACAUGGGUAACGUACCCCCGGCACAGGGAUAGCCGCGGGAAACCGCGGGUAAUACCUGAUAUGACCACAGCAUCACAGGAUGCAGCGGUAAAAGGGUGGGGACCUUCGGGCCUACCGGCCAGGGAGCGGCCCAUGACCUAUCAGCUUGUUGGUGAGGUAACAGCUCACCAAGGCGACGACGGGUACCGGGGCUGAGAGGCUGACCCGGCGCAUUGGGACUGAGACACUGCCCAGACUCCUACGGGAGGCUGCAGCGACGAAUAUUGCACAAUGGGCGAAAGCCUGAUGCAGCGACGCCGCGUGUGGGAGGAAGCCCUUCGGGGUGUAAACCACUGUCAGGGACUAACAAGCGACCGAGACGAAUAGUCUCGGAAGUUGAGUAAUCCCAGAGGAAGUCACGGCUAACUUCGUGCCAGCAGCCGCGGUAAGACGAAGGUGGCAAGCGUUGUUCGGAAUCACUGGGCUUAAAGAGCAUGUAGGCGGACUGCCAAGCACUUUGUGAAAUCCCUCGGCUCAACCGAGGAAUUGCUUGGUGAACUGGUAGUCUUGAGGCAGGUAGGGGCACACGGAACUCUUGGUGGAGCGGUGGAAUGCGUAGAUAUGCGGAGGAACACCAGUGGCGAAGGCGGCACUCUGGGGCCUAACUGACGCUGAGGCGCGAAAGCAUGGGUAGCGAACGGGAUUAGAAACCCCGGUAGUCCAUGCCGUAAACGAUGUGUACUAGACGUUCGAGUGACUACGGUUGUUUGAGUGUCGAAGCCAACGCGCUAAGUACACCGCCUGGGGAGUACGGUCGCAAGGCUAAAACUCAAAGGAAUUGACGGGGGCCCGCACAAGCAGCGGAGCGUGUGGUUUAAUUCGAGGCUACGCGAAGAACCUUACCUGGGUUUGACAUGGCAGUGAAUGAAGCCGAAAGGUGGAAGUCCUUCGGGCGCUGUCACAGGUGCUGCAUGGCUGUCGUCAGCUCGUGUCGUGAGAUGUUCGGUUAAGUCCGAAAACGAGCGCAACCCCUAGGUUUAGUUACAAGUGUCUAAACCGACUGCCUGCGGCAAGCAGGAGGAAGGUGGGGAUGACGUCAAGUCAGCAUGGCCUUUAUAUCCAGGGCUACACACACGCUACAAUGGCGCGUACAGUAGGCAGCGAACUCGCGAGAGGGAGCCAAUCCUGCAAAGCGCGUCGUAGUUCGGAUUGCAGGCUGCAACUCGCCUGCAUGAAGUCGGAGUUGCUAGUAACCGCAGGUCAGCACACUGCGGUGAAUACGUUCCCGGGCCUUGUACACACCGCCCGUCACGUCAUGGGAGCUGGUCACGCCUGAAGUCGGGAAGCUAACCGCAAGGGGGCUACCGCCGAAGGCAGGGCUGGUGACUGGGACGAAGUCGUAACAAGGUAACC